RNAcentral lists this long non-coding RNA (601 nucleotides) under Trifolium pratense (red clover). RNAcentral's name for it is "long non-coding RNA (TPRA_LNC010842)". Lineage: Eukaryota; Viridiplantae; Streptophyta; Magnoliopsida; Fabales; Fabaceae. The record is from RNAcentral.
CUUAUUGCAUCAAAUAUUUCAUCAAUCUAGCGAGCAUUAUUUAUCUCCACCUUCCUUGUCCAUGCCACACUCCAAUUAUCCAGCAUAAAAUUGUCCACAUAGAUAAAAAGUUCAUGAAUAAGAAGUAACUUCAGUUGAUCAUAUCAUUAGAAAAACAAAGGGGUCAAGGAAAUAUAGGUUGGAAAAGCUAACAGAAAUCUCGUACCAUUUUAAAGCAAGUAAAAAUAAUGAUACAAAGUUUGGAUAAAAGAUGCAACUUUAGCAAUUAUGCAGAAGCAUGAUAUACUAACCAUAUUUAAAAGCUACAAACAAUUGAAGGGGUAAGGUAGAAAACAGCUCUUCAAAAGAAAUGUAAGGAAACAUAGGUUGGAAAAGCUAACAGAAAUCUCAUACCAUUUUAAAGCAAGUAAAAAUAAUGAUACAAAGUUUGGAUAAAAGAUGCAACUUUAGCAAUCAUGCAGAAGGAGGAUAUACUAACCAUAUUUAAAAGCUACAAACAAUUGAAGGGGUAAGGUAGAAAACAGCUCUUCAAAAGAAAUGUCACUAAAAUUGACAGAUGAGGAAAACAUUCAAACAUAUGGAAAUCGUAUACAAUCNNNNN